UUACGCACUCCUACGGGAGGCAGCAGUGGGGAAUAUUGCACAAUGGGCGCAAGCCUGAUGCAGCCAUGCCGCGUGUAUGAAGAAGGCCUUCGGGUUGUAAAGUACUUUCAGCAGUGAGGAAGGUGGGUAUGUUAAUAGCAUACUCAUUUGACGUUAGCUGCAGAAGAAGCACCGGCUAACUCCGUGCCAGCAGCCGCGGUAAUACGGAGGGUGCGAGCGUUAAUCGGAAUUACUGGGCGUAAAGCGCAUGCAGGUGGUUUGUUAAGUCAGAUGUGAAAGCCCGGGGCUCAACCUCGGAAUUGCAUUUGAAACUGGCAAACUAGAGUACUGUAGAGGGGGUAGAAUUUCAGGUGUAGCGGUGAAAAUGCGUAGAGAUCUGAAGGAAUACCGGUGGCGAAGGCGGCCCCCUGGACAGAUACUGACACUCAGAUGCGAAAGCGUGGGGAGCAAACAGGAUUAGAUACCCUGGUAG
This 472-nucleotide ribosomal RNA is filed under the name uncultured bacterium. RNAcentral's name for it is "bacterial SSU rRNA". It matches the Rfam family "Bacterial small subunit ribosomal RNA", at positions 329 to 793 of the family's 1533-position model. The record is from RNAcentral.